This 495-nucleotide ribosomal RNA is filed under the name uncultured bacterium. RNAcentral describes it as "partial 16S ribosomal RNA". It matches the Rfam family "Bacterial small subunit ribosomal RNA", at positions 28 to 523 of the family's 1533-position model. The record is from RNAcentral.
GAUGAACGCUAGCGGGAGGCCUAACACAUGCAAGCCGAGCGGUAGAAUCUUUUCGGAGAUUUGAGAGCGGCGUACGGGUGAGGAACACGUGUGCAACCUGCCUUUAUCUGGGAGAUAGCCUUUCGAAAGGAAGAUUAAUAUCCCAUAAUAUAUUGAGUGGCAUCACUUAAUAUUGAAAGCUCCGGCGGAUAGAGAUGGGCACGCGCAAGAUUGGAUAGUUGGUGAGGUAACGGCUCACCAAGUCUACGAUCUUUAGGGGGCCUGAGAGGGUGAUCCCCCACACUGGUACUGAGACACGGACCAGACUCCUACGGGAGGCAGCAGUGAGGAAUAUUGGACAAUGGGUGCAAGCCUGAUCCAGCCAUCCCGCCUGAAGGAUUAAGGUCCUAUGGAUUGUAAACUUCUUUUAUACAGGGAUAAACCUCUCCUCGUGAGGAGAGCUGAAGGUACCGUAUGAAUAAGCACCGGCUAACUCCGUGCCAGCCGCCGCCGUAA